Molecule: ribosomal RNA, 1108 nt
Filed under: Salmonella enterica subsp. enterica
Lineage: Bacteria; Pseudomonadati; Pseudomonadota; Gammaproteobacteria; Enterobacterales; Enterobacteriaceae
Description: bacterial LSU rRNA
Rfam family: Bacterial large subunit ribosomal RNA
Source: RNAcentral
CAUCCUCCAAGGCUAAAUACUCCUGACUGACCGAUAGUGAACCAGUACCGUGAGGGAAAGGCGAAAAGAACCCCGGCGAGGGGAGUGAAAAAGAACCUGAAACCGUGUACGUACAAGCAGUGGGAGCCCCACCACUAAGCCAGUGGUGAACUCCACAUACGCAUCCUUUGCUGAGGAUACGGUUAACGGAGCGAAAGCGACGUUCAACCUCAAAAGAAGCAGAGGGGGCUUAGUGGUGGGGUGACUGCGUACCUUUUGUAUAAUGGGUCAGCGACUUAUAUUCUGUAGCAAGGUUAACCGAAUAGGGGAGCCGGAGGGAAACCGAGUCUUAAUUGGGCGUUAAGUUGCAGGGUAUAGACCCGAAACCCGGUGAUCUAGCCAUGGGCAGGUUGAAGGUUGGGUAACACUAACUGGAGGACCGAACCGACUAAUGUUGAAAAAUUAGCGGAUGACCUGUGGCUGGGGGUGAAAGGCCAAUCAAACCGGGAGAUAGCUGGUUCUCCCCGAAAGCUAUUUAGGUAGCGCCUCGUGAAUUCAUCUCCGGGGGUAGAGCACUGUUUCGGCUAGGGGGCCAUCCCGGCUUACCAACCCGAUGCAAACUGCGAAUACCGGAGAAUGUUAUCACGGGAGACACACGGCGGGUGCUAACGUCCGUCGUGAAGAGGGAAACAACCCAGACCGCCAGCUAAGGUCCCAAAGUCAUGGUUAAGUGGGAAACGAUGUGGGAAGGCCCAGACAGCCAGGAUGUUGGCUUAGAAGCAGCCAUCAUUUAAAGAAAGCGUAAUAGCUCACUGGUCGAGUCGGCCUGCGCGGAAGAUGUAACGGGGCUAAACCAUGCACCGAAGCUGCGGCAGCGAACGUAUCACCCAAGACAACUUUGCGGAGUUGACGAUUGACGGAGCGAAGCGACGUCAAAGCGUUCAUUAAAGUCGAGUUGGCUUAGGGAUACGUUCGUUGGGUAGGGGAGCGUUCUGUAAGCCAGUGAAGGUGUGUCGUGAGGCAUGCUGGAGGUAUCAGAAGUGCGAAUGCUGACAUAAGUAACGAUAAAGCGGGUGAAAAGCCCGCUCGCCGGAAGACCAAGGGUUCCUGUCCAACGUUAAUCGGGGCA